This 253-nucleotide ribosomal RNA is filed under the name uncultured bacterium. RNAcentral describes it as "partial 16S ribosomal RNA". It matches the Rfam family "Bacterial small subunit ribosomal RNA", at positions 524 to 776 of the family's 1533-position model. The record is from RNAcentral.
UACGGGGGGGGCAAGCGUUGUUCGGAAUUACUGGGCGUAAAGGGUUCGUAGGUGGCCUGCUAAGUCAGACGUGAAAUCCCUCAGCUUAACUGGGGAACUGCGUCUGAGACUGGUGGGCUUGAGUGCAGGAGAGGAACGCGGAAUUCCAGGUGUAGCGGUGAAAUGCGUAGAUAUCUGGAGGAACACCGGUGGCGAAGGCGGCAUCCUGGACCGAGAUUGACGCUGAGGCGCGAAAGCUAGGGGAGCAAACGGG